RNAcentral lists this ribosomal RNA (460 nucleotides) under Triticum aestivum (bread wheat). RNAcentral describes it as "partial small subunit ribosomal RNA". Lineage: Eukaryota; Viridiplantae; Streptophyta; Magnoliopsida; Poales; Poaceae. The record is from RNAcentral.
CCGCGGUAGAAGUCGUAGGCCUCGACGGCGUGGUAGGUGCUGCCGCGACCCUACGGGGAGGAUUGGUACGUUCUUUUCUAACAAAAUUUCUUCCCGAUAACUUUUUUCUACACACUCCCGUAGUCAGUGAGAGUACGGCCGUACGGCGUGAAAGUCGAUCGUCUCCCUCAUUACCCGCUCCUCUACUUGGAUCCUCUCGUUUUAACUCUUGAGGUCGAUUUCGUCGAGGACGGGUCGCCGCUCCUGAAGUCGCCGUCGUCGUGGACACGUACCCCUCCUUGUCGGGGACCCGCGUGCAUCCGUCGUCGAGCGGAGGUGAUCGCCCGCCGUCGUCUCGUGGUCGAGCGGAGGUGGUCGCCGGCCGUCAUCUAGUCGUGGAGCAGAGGUGGUCGCCGGCCGUCGUCUCGUGGUGGACCCGCGCGCCCCCGGCCCUCCUCGGGGACCGCACCCUCUCCUCGCG